ACUAUUGUCACGGGUUACCGCGGCUGCUGGCACGGAGUUAGCCGGUGCUUCUUCUGUGAGUGAUGUCCUUCCUGCCGGUUAUUGACCCGCAGGCCUUCUUCCUCACUGAAAGUGCUUUACAACCCGAAGGCCUUCUUCACACACGCGGCAUGGCUGGAUCAGGGUUGCCCCCAUUGUCCAAUAUUCCCCACUGCUGCCUCCCGUAGGAGUCUGGGCCGUGUCUCAGUCCCAGUGUGGCUGAUCAUCCUCUCAGACCAGCUACGGAUCGUCGUCGUUGG
RNAcentral lists this ribosomal RNA (278 nucleotides) under uncultured bacterium. Its description in RNAcentral is "partial 16S ribosomal RNA". The record is from RNAcentral.